This 5239-nucleotide long non-coding RNA is filed under the name Lathyrus oleraceus (garden pea). RNAcentral's name for it is "Pisum sativum (pea) long non-coding RNA (PSAT_LNC029224)". The record is from RNAcentral. Lineage: Eukaryota; Viridiplantae; Streptophyta; Magnoliopsida; Fabales; Fabaceae.
AGGCAUAAAAAAGACACAGAAUUGGUCAAUAAUCAUCCAGAAACUCCAAAGCAAGAAAGCGUUACAAAUGCAAUUCAAGCCAUCCUAGAUUUUAAUUUUAAAUUUAUAAAAAUUCCAAAGGAUUAGAUCUUGAAUGCACCAUAAAAAAUAGAAUCUUGAUCCUAGCUCCAAAUAAAACCUAACUGAUUCAAAUCUCGUGUUUAUAUGUUUUUGGUUCGAAACACGAAACCCCAAAUUAAUCCGAAAAUAGUAAAGAAAAAUAUAUCAACUUUGGAAGUUCUUACUAAAUUGAUUACCGUAAAGAAUAAAGGAAAGAAAUACCUGUGGUUUGUUGAAGCAGGGAGUGAAUCUUGGGAAAAAGAAGAGAGUUUUAAAGGUGAAGGUGAAGGGGAUUGUGGGAAAUUCGGGAAGGGAAGGAAAACGAGGGAAGAGGAUUAAGGCGUGAAGAGGGAGAAGAAUAAGAAGAAAAUAUAGGUAAGUGAAGGUAAGAAGGGGAAAUGAGAUAAAGAGGCAUGGUGAAAGUGAGAGUAACGAAUGGGAAGAGAAGAGAAUCUCACACACAAAAUGGGAUCACAGACGUAGAGGAUGAAUAAAAGCACGAGGGGAAAACGGUGGAUGGGAAAUAAUAUUGCGGCUACUAAACAUUUUCUCAAAUUUCUCUUAGUUUUCUAUUUUUUCAUCUCAUGAAUAUGAGUUUUUUUAUGAAAUAACCUCUUUUUAAAAAAAAUCCAAUCUACUAUAGUUUUUUAGAAAACAAUAUAUAUUUUUUUAAAUGGGAAAAUAAAAAGAAAAAAAAACAUAGUCAGGAAAUUAUCUAGGAAAUAAGGUGAGAAAAUUAUCUAGAUAGUAAAGUAUAACAUCAGUUAGUAGGAGAGUGACUAUUCAAAUAUGAGGUUCCGCAAAAGACCAGUAUGUCACAUUAUUACUUGUUUCAUAUUUUGCUAGGUAAUUGGAGUCGUUAUCGGGGUUUCGAAUCAGAUAACGAGGAAACCGAGACUGAACAAAAGAAUGCCCUCACCCUUAAAAGGGGAGAGAAAUUGCAAAUUAGAAGAGUCGACACCGGAUUUUAUUUUGAUUUCCUCAAUGGGAGAGAAGAGGGGAAAUGGUCGAUAAAACUCUCGAAAGAAAAAGGUGUGCACGGGAAGCGCCAAGGUACGGAUAAAGAAUCGAUCUCGCAACCGAGACUUGGGUUCGGAAGUCGGUUACGCAAGGAAAAAGUAUUAGCACCCCUCACGUCCAUAGUACUCUAUGGGAACCAUUGUGUUAUUUACGUAUGUGGGCAUUUAUUUGUUUAUUUUUAUUUACUAUUAUUUGCAAAAAAGAGUGUGACAGAGAGUGUUUUGGGUUUUUUAUUAUUGUGCUCGUCAAGUAUUGUGGUCCUUGUGCCUACGUAUCACUCAUCAGGUGAUGAGGAAUCAGAGCUCCGUAGUUUGGAGUAGAAAGUAUUUAAGUGUUGGUUGAUUUUACCUUUAAAAAAAUGGUUUUCGGGGUGGUGCCUUAAGGCACAAAAAAUAAGGUUUGAUGGGUUGUAUUGUUUUUACCUUGAAUAAGAGUUUAUGAAAAACAGUUUGUGAUUAGAUUGUACUAAAGUCUAUGGACGGAGGUGAAAAUUCUAGACAACAAGUCAACUGUCUUGCAUCCAAAAUAAUCAGAGUAAGGAUAGGAAAGCUCCUUUCUUACUUAUUCUCCACCACUUAGGACUCGUGGUGCACAAUACUAAUCACAGUUUUAAUGUAUUUUGAAUUUGAUUAGGAAAAUGUCACUAGAUGUUGGAUCAAUGAUUAGUUUAUUUGAUUCUGAAAUUGCGUAAUGUAACGGAUAUACAAAGUAACCAACAAGGAAGUAAAUCGUCUCAUUGUAAGGUAGCCCAAGAGAAAGCCUUGUGCGUGCUAAAGUAACCUAAGCUAAACAGAUAUAUAUAUAUUAUAUAUAUAUAUUUUAAUAUCUUAUUAUAUAUAAUAUUUCAUAUAUAUUAUAAUAUUAUAUAUAUAUAUAUAUAUUAUAACAUAUAUUAUAUAUAUAUAUAAUAGAUUAUAUAUAAUAUUAAAUAGGAUAUAUAUUAUAUAUAUUUAUUUUAUAUAUAUCAGUUUAAUUGUAUAUCUAUUUAAUAUAUAUAUUUACAUAUUAUAUAUUUAUAUAUAUAUAUAUAUAAUAUUAUAUUGAUAUUUUUAAUUUACUGGAUAUAAGUAUAUAUAUAUUUUAUUAUAUAUAUAAUAUAUACUAUAUAUAUAAAUAUAUAUAUUUAUGAUAUAUAUUUAUAUAUAUAAUUAUAUUAUAUAUAUUAUUAUUAUAUAUAUAUAUAUAUAUAUAUUAUAUAUAUUAAGUAGAUAUAUUAUUUAAUAUAUUUAUUAAUAUAUAUAUAUAUAUAUAUACUAUAUUAUAUAUAUAUAUAUAUAUAUAUAUAUAUAUAUGAUAUAUUAUAUAUAUAUAUAUAUAUAUAUAUAUAUAAUAUAAUAUAUAUAUAUAUAUUAUAUUUAAUGAUAUUUAAUAUAUACUAUAUACUAUUAUAUAUAUAUAUAAUAUUAUAUAUAAUAUAAUUAAUAUAUAUAUUAUGUAUAUACUGUAAUAUAGUCGUAACUAUAUAAUUAUAGUAACUAUAUUUAUUUAUAUAUAAUAUUAUAUCUAUUACUAUAUUAUUAAAUAUUUAUAUAAUAUAAAUAGUAUAUACUAUUAUAAUAUUAUAUUAUAUAUUAUGAUAUUAUUACAGAAUAUAUUAUAUAUAUAUAUAUUAUAUAUAUAUAUAUGGUAUAUAUCUCGUAAAUAUAAUAUAUAUAUAUAUAUAUAUAUUAUAGUAUAUAAAUCAUAUAUAUAUCUAUUAUUGACUAUACGUAUAUUGAUAUGAUUAUAUAUAUAUUGUAUUAAGUAUAUUGUGAUCUGUAUUGAAAAAAGCUAACUUAUAAUAUAAAUAUUAUGGGAAACUAUAUAUACUACUAUACGUAAAAGUAUGUAUAAUAACUCAUAUAUAAUAUAGGGUAUAACCUCAUUGUAAGUUAACUAUUAUUUAUAUGAAUUGUGGGAUUAGUGUAUACUUUUUUUUAUAAGUUAUAAUGCAAAAUUUAUCUUUUAGAAUAGAUACGGUAUUUGCAGAUGUAAAUCUGGCAAUGUACUAAGCAAAGUAUUUCUGCAUAAUAUAAUGAUGAUCUAUUAGAACACAUACUUUUUAUUAUAGUACUCUUUCUUCUCUUAACAAAAAAUUUUUCAUAUCUGGAAAUUAUUUUUUAAUUAGAGUAUUUUUAGCAUAAAGUCUCUUUAGCUUCUUAUAUUAGGUUUGAUUAGGAUCGUUGGUACUAAAGAACAACAGUUUAGAAGAUGUGUUCUUGUUCAACCUUGAAUUCAAUAUACAAAUCACUUAUUUUUAUUAGAAUAUAAUUAGUAGGUAUAUAUCAUGUACUCUUCUGUAUCAAUUAAUAUCAUCAUAUGAGAAUUGAAUCUCAUUGCUAUCAUGCAUUGGCCAAAUCGCAUGCUUGAUCAAUGAGACCGCUGGUACAACAGGAAUAAUUUGAGGUAAUAGGAAGUAAGGCACAUUCAUAGCGAAAUCACAUUGUUACUGAGACAAAUUGUGUUCAAAUCAGGUACCAAAAAAACAAACAAUUCAACUGUACUAAACAAUGCUAUUCAAGAAGAUCUAGUGGAUGCAAGGUGAACAUUCGAAUUCUAGAUAAUUGCAAGAGAGAGUAGUAAUGUUCACGAGAAUCAUUAGUGAGCAGCCAGACAGAUACUAAUUUUAACCAAUUCAGACUGCCAUGACAACAAAAGUAUACUCUCAAUUGAGAUCCUCUACAUUUGAGCAAAAAUCUUGACAAAUUUGCAUGGUGCCAAGUAUUGCGUCACAAUUCUUUGCCAUCUUAAAAAACUAACAGCUGGAUACACCUAAUUUCAACUCUUUCAGCAUUUGUCAUAUCGUUUGUGUUGUGUACAAGCAUGGUCUUCCAGACGAUACUUCUGUUGCAACCUCAUCAUAACUGGCGGUGAACCAUACUCGCAUGGGCCACUUUCAUUUUAUUUACAUAUCCUCAUAGAACUCAUACAAGGCUGGUUUCACUUUAGAAUCGAGUUAUCCACAGGUCCUAUGUUGAAGACUGAGUUGUAGCUGGCAGGCACAAAGUCCAUGAAUUAAAAGACAUCAUAUAUGUCCAGUUCAAUCAUGCUGGAAUUGCAAAAUUCACAAAAUUUAACCUUUGCGUAAAGAAAAUUUUACUUAAGUAAUGCUUUAACAGCUUUGCAAUACACUCAGACGUCAAACUUAAGAAUCGUAAAAUGAUCAAUAAGGCUUGCAGAAAUUUUCUGAAUAAUUCAAACUACGCAGUUGAUAAAAGAUCAUAAUGAUCUUAGUUUAUGCUGCCUAUCUAUAGUUACAAAUUAUCAAAUACAUCAGCAUGAUCGUUAUCUUCUAUCCUCUCAUUCAUCUACUUACUAGCUAUUUGGGCACAAAACAAUUCACAGCAUCAAUAUGAAAAACUAACUCACUCAUAAUGAUUAAGCUUUUAUGACAGCAAAUGAUGAAUAUGAAUAUUGGCUAUUUAUUUCUUACAAUAAAACAUACCAUUAACCUCAAACUGAACAUCCAUGAUCCAAAAUGGACAGAAAUAUAUUAGAACUGAUUAUUUAGCUCUCAGAUUAUACAAGUACUUGAGUUACACCUCAACACUUCAAACAUUAUUACUGCAAUUCACUAUAAACUAUUGCAACAUAACUCUGAAAAAGGGUGUUAUGUCACGAUCUGAAAUUGACACGCGAAACUUGUACUGUAUUCAAUUUUUCAAUAUUAACGUGUAGAAUGUGAGUGGUGUUUCCGUUUCCGGUGUUUCAACUUAUAGGUACAAAUUUACCCUUAUAAAAACUAAGAGUAUUGAAUAGGUAUAAGAUGAAAUCAACAAAAAGUUUGAGCUAAAAAAGCAAAAUAAAAUAUUCUACAAAUUCUAACUUAGGCACAAUAAGACAAGAUGUCUAUAUCAUCAAAACUCCAAAGCAAGAAAGCGUUACAAAUGCAAUUCAAGCCAUCCUAGAUUUUAAUUUCAAAUUUAUAAAAAUUCCAAAGGAUUGGAUCUUGAAUGCACAAUAAAAAAUAGAAUCCUGAUCCUAGCUCCAAAUAAAACCUAACUGAUUCAAAUCUCGUGUUUAUAUGUUUUUGGUUCGAAACACGAAACCCCAAAUUAAUCCGAAAAUAGUAAAGAAAAAUAUAUCAACUUUGGCAUUUCUUAUUAAAUUGAUUAUCGUAAAGAAUAAAGGAAAGAAAUAC